RNAcentral lists this ribosomal RNA (481 nucleotides) under uncultured bacterium. RNAcentral's name for it is "bacterial SSU rRNA". It matches the Rfam family "Bacterial small subunit ribosomal RNA", at positions 30 to 502 of the family's 1533-position model. The record is from RNAcentral.
AUUGAACGCUGGCGGCAUGCCUUACACAUGCAAGUCGAACGGCAGCACGGGAGCAAUCCUGGUGGCGAGUGGCGAACGGGUGAGUAAUACAUCGGAACGUGCCCAGUCGUGGGGGAUAACGUAGCGAAAGCUACGCUAAUACCGCAUACGAUCUAUGGAUGAAAGCGGGGGAUCGCAAGACCUCGCGCGAUUGGAGCGGCCGAUAUCAGAUUAGGUAGUUGGUGAGGUAAAGGCUCACCAAGCCGACGAUCUGUAGCUGGUCUGAGAGGACGACCAGCCACACUGGGACUGAGACACGGCCCAGACUCCUACGGGAGGCAGCAGUGGGGGAAUUUUUGGACAAUGGACGCAAGUCUGAUCCAGCCAUUCCGCGUGCAGGAUGAAGGCCCUCGGGUUGUAAACUGCUUUUGUACGGAACGAAAAGGUUUCUAUUAAUACUAGGAGCUCAUGACGGUACCGUAAGAAUAAGCACCGGCUAACU